This 214-nucleotide long non-coding RNA is filed under the name Capsicum annuum. RNAcentral's name for it is "long non-coding RNA (CANN_LNC022373)". Lineage: Eukaryota; Viridiplantae; Streptophyta; Magnoliopsida; Solanales; Solanaceae. The record is from RNAcentral.
GAGGCUAGAUGGGAGUCUGCACAUACAGCUACUAUGUCAUAACUACAUAUUAAUCUAUAUAUGGGUAUUGAUACUUUUGAGAGAUGUGUGGAAGAUAAAUUCAUAAUGAUUGAGGCACCGAAUCAACCAUUGAAGAAGAGAUAGACACAUUGAGAGAAGAAGUACACUCUCUCACAGAGAGCCAUAUAACAGUCAUCCCUCCGAUCAUACCCCC